GUGGGGAAUAACUGUGGGAAACUGCAGCUAAUGCCGCAUGCGCUCAGAAAUGAGGAAAGAUUUAUCGCUAGGAGAUAGGCCUAUAUCGGAUUAGGUAGUUGGUGGGGUAAUGGCCUACCAAGCCUGUGAUCUGUAGCUGGUCUGAGAGGACGGUCAGCCACACUGGGAUUGAGAUACGGCCCAGACUCCUACGGGAGGCAGCAGUGGGGAAUAUUGGACAAUGGGGGAAACCCUGAUCCAGCGAUGCCGCGUGAAUGAAGAAGGCCUUCGGGUUGUAAAGUUCUUUCGCUCGUGACGAUGAUGACGGUAGCGAGAUAAGAAGCUCCGGCUAACUCUGUGCCAGCAGCCGCGGUGAGACAGAGGGAGCUAGCGUUGUUCGGAAUGACUGGGCGUAAAGGGUGCGUAUGCGGUUGUUUAAGUGAGGUGUUAAAGUCCUGGGCUCAACCUAGGGGGUGCGCUUCAAACUGGGCAGCUAGAGUGUGGUAGAGGAAAGUGGAACUCCUAGUGUAGAGGUGAAAUUCGUAGAUAUUAGGAAGAACACCGGAGGCGAAGGCGGCUUUCUGGGCCAUUACUGACGCUGAGGCACGAAAGCGUGGGGAGCAAACAGGAUUAGAUACCCUGGUAGUCCACGCCCUAAACGAUGAGUGCUAGACGUCGGAUUUUUUUCGGUGUCGCAGCUAACGCGUUAAGCACUCCGCCUGAGGAGUACGGUCGCAAGAUUAAAACUUAAAGGAAUUGACGGGGGCCCGCACAAGCGGUGGGGCAUGUGGUUUAAUUCGAUGAUACGCGAAAAACCUUACCGGUUCUUGACAUGGAGGUCGAGGGUCCUGGAGACAGGAUCCGUCAGUUCGGCUGGACCUUACACAGGUGAUGCAUGGCUGUCGUCAGCUCGUGUCGUGAGAUGUUGGGUUAAGUCCCACAACGAGCGCAACCCCUGUCCUUAGUUGCUAACAGGUUAAGCUGAGAACUUUAAGGAGACUUCCGAUGAUAAGUCGGAGGAAGGCGGGGAUG
Molecule: ribosomal RNA, 1011 nt
Filed under: uncultured Alphaproteobacteria bacterium
Lineage: Bacteria; Pseudomonadati; Pseudomonadota; Alphaproteobacteria
Description: bacterial SSU rRNA
Rfam family: Bacterial small subunit ribosomal RNA
Source: RNAcentral